Molecule: ribosomal RNA, 531 nt
Filed under: bacterium T-1-0-12D
Lineage: Bacteria
Description: bacterial SSU rRNA
Rfam family: Bacterial small subunit ribosomal RNA
Source: RNAcentral
GGAGCAACGCCGCGUGAGUGAAGAAGGUUUUCGGAUCGUAAAACUCUGUUGUAAGGGAAGAACAAGUACGGUAGUAACUGGCCGUACCUUGACGGUACCUUAUUAGAAAGCCACGGCUAACUACGUGCCAGCAGCCGCGGUAAUACGUAGGUGGCAAGCGUUGUCCGGAAUUAUUGGGCGUAAAGCGCGCGCAGGCGGUCCUUUAAGUCUGAUGUGAAAGCCCACGGCUCAACCGUGGAAGGUCAUUGGAAACUGGGGGACUUGAGUGCAGAAGAGGUUAGUGGAAUUCCAAGUGUAGCGGUGAAAUGCGUAGAGAUUUGGAGGAACACCAGUGGCGAAGGCGACUAACUGGUCUGUAACUGACGCUGAGGCGCGAAAGCGUGGGGAGCAAACAGGAUUAGAUACCCUGGUAGUCCACGCCGUAAACGAUGAGUGCUAAGUGUUAGGGGGUUUCCGCCCCUUAGUGCUGCAGUAAACGCAUUAAGCACUCCGCCUGGGGAGUACGGCCGCAAGGCUGAAACUCAAAGGAAU